This 402-nucleotide ribosomal RNA is filed under the name uncultured organism. RNAcentral's name for it is "bacterial SSU rRNA". It matches the Rfam family "Bacterial small subunit ribosomal RNA", at positions 45 to 433 of the family's 1533-position model. The record is from RNAcentral.
CGCUUAACACAUGCAAGUCGCACGAGAAAGGGCUUCGGCCCCGGUAAAGUGGCGCACGGGUGAGUAACACGUGGGUAAUCUUCCCUCGGGCGGGGGAUAACAUUCCGAAAGGAGUGCUAAUACCGCAUAAGACCACGGACUCGAAAGAGUCUGAGGUCAAAGCCGGCCUCUAUACAUAAGCUGGCACCUGAGGAUGAGCCCGCGGCCCAUCAGCUAGUUGGCAGGGUAAUGGCCUACCAAGGCAAAGACGGGUAGCUGGUCUGAGAGGAUGAUCAGCCACACUGGAACUGAGACACGGUCCAGACUCCUACGGGAGGCAGCAGUGGGGAAUCUUGCGCAAUGGGCGAAAGCCUGACGCAGCGACGCCGCGUGAGUGAUGAAGGCCUUCGGGUUGUAAAGCUC